RNAcentral lists this ribosomal RNA (564 nucleotides) under uncultured bacterium. RNAcentral's name for it is "bacterial SSU rRNA". It matches the Rfam family "Bacterial small subunit ribosomal RNA", at positions 338 to 916 of the family's 1533-position model. The record is from RNAcentral.
CCUACGGGAGGCAGCAGUGGGGAAUUUUCCGCAAUGGGCGAAAGCCUGACGGAGCAACGCCGCGUGAGGGAUGAAGGCCUCUGGGCUGUAAACCUCUUUUCUCAAGGAAGAAGAUCUGACGGUACUUGAGGAAUAAGCCACGGCUAAUUCCGUGCCAGCAGCCGCGGUAAUACGGGAGUGGCAAGCGUUAUCCGGAAUUAUUGGGCGUAAAGCGUCCGCAGGCGGCCCUUCAAGUCUGCUGUUAAAACGUGGAGCUUAACUCCAUCAUGGCAGUGGAAACUGUUGGGCUUGAGUGUGGUAGGGGCAGAGGGAAUUCCCGGUGUAGCGGUGAAAUGCGUAGAUAUCGGGAAGAACACCAGUGGCGAAGGCGCUCUGCUGGGCCAUAACUGACGCUCAUGGACGAAAGCCAGGGGAGCGAAAGGGAUUAGAUACCCCUGUAGUCCUGGCCGUAAACGAUGAACACUAGGUGUCGGGGGAAUCGACCCCCUCGGUGUCGUAGCCAACGCGUUAAGUGUUCCGCCUGGGGAGUACGCACGCAAGUGUGAAACUCAAAGGAAUUGACGG